This 486-nucleotide long non-coding RNA is filed under the name Calidris pugnax (ruff). Its description in RNAcentral is "lncRNA (ENSCPUG00000005627.1)". Lineage: Eukaryota; Metazoa; Chordata; Aves; Charadriiformes; Scolopacidae. The record is from RNAcentral.
CCUGGGGCCCAGGAACACUUCCCAGAUGCAGAACAAGAGAGCAUGUCGUUCUUAGGUAUGUGACCACAGAUGUGAAAGGGAAAAAGUGAGGCGGUAUUGGUCAGAAGAGCGGCGUCCUCAGCAUGCUGCCAGUGUAGCUGUAAUCAAAUUAUCGGAGGCUUCCACGGCUGGAGGAAUUAACGAGUCAGGUUUGAAGCAGGACCGGUGUGAAGGGCAACGCAGCAGAAAUCACAAAGGGAGCCAUUUGUACAUUAACAGAUGGUUUGUGGAGGGUGUCGUCAGGGGUUACUUGGCAGUGAGAGUUCUCUGUGGGGGGGUUUUGCCUGCCUCUCCCCUGUGUAUCACGUCCAGGGACCCCCUUCCUUCAGCAGGUUGUGACCUGGUGACCCAAGACAGCUGGAAGAAGCAACCCAAAAUCCAACCCGUGGGUGCUGACACCUGAGAGCUGCCUUUCCCGUCUGCUCCAGCCCUACACCAAGGCAUCAA